GACGAACGCUGGCGGCGUGCUUAACACAUGCAAGUCGAACGGUAAGGCUCCAGCUUGCUGGGGUACACGAGUGGCGAACGGGUGAGUAACACGUGGGUGACCUGCCCUGCACUUCGGGAUAAGCCUGGGAAACUGGGUCUAAUACCGGAUAGGACCGCACCGUGAGGGUGUGGUGGAAAGUUUUUUCGGUGUGGGAUGGGCCCGCGGCCUAUCAGCUUGUUGGUGGGGUAAUGGCCUACCAAGGCGGCGACGGGUAGCCGGCCUGAGAGGGUGGACGGCCACAUUGGGACUGAGACACGGCCCAGACUCCUACGGGAGGCAGCAGUGGGGAAUAUUGCACAAUGGGCGGAAGCCUGAUGCAGCGACGCCGCGUGGGGGAUGACGGCCUUCGGGUUGUAAACUCCUUUCACCAUCGACGAAGGGUUUCUGACGGUAGAUGGAGAAGAAGCACCGGCUAACUACGUGCCAGCAGCCGCGGUAAUACGUAGGGUGCGAGCGUUGUCCGGAAUUACUGGGCGUAAAGAGCUCGUAGGUGGUUUGUCGCGUCGUCUGUGAAAUUCCGGGGCUUAACUCCGGGCGUGCAGGCGAUACGGGCAUAACUUGAGUACUGUAGGGGAGACUGGAAUUCCUGGUGUAGCGGUGAAAUGCGCAGAUAUCAGGAGGAACACCGGUGGCGAAGGCGGGUCUCUGGGCAGUAACUGACGCUGAGGAGCGAAAGCAUGGGGAGCGAACAGGAUUAGAUACCCUGGUAGUCCAUGCCGUAAACGGUGGGCGCUAGGUGUGGGUUUCCUUCCACGGGAUCCGUGCCGUAGCUAACGCAUUAAGCGCCCCGCCUGGGGAGUACGGCCGCAAGGCUAAAACUCAAAGGAAUUGACGGGGGCCCGCACAAGCGGCGGAGCAUGUGGAUUAAUUCGAUGCAACGCGAAGAACCUUACCUGGGCUUGACAUAUACAGGAUCGCGCCAGAGAUGGUGUUUCCCUUGUGGCUUGUAUACAGGUGGUGCAUGGUUGUCGUCAGCUCGUGUCGUGAGAUGUUGGGUUAAGUCCCGCAACGAGCGCAACCCUUGUCUUAUGUUGCCAGCACGUUGUGGUGGGGACUCAUAAGAAACUGCCGGGGUUAACUCGGAGGAAGGUGGGGAUGACGUCAAAUCAUCAUGCCCCUUAUGUCCAGGGCUUCACACAUGCUACAAUGGUCGGUACAGUGGGUUGCCAGUCCGUGAGGGCGAGCUAAUCCCGCAAAGCCGGUCUCAGUUCGGAUCGGGGUCUGCAACUCGACCCCGUGAAGUCGGAGUCGCUAGUAAUCGCAGAUCAGCAACGCUGCGGUGAAUACGUUCCCGGGCCU
RNAcentral lists this ribosomal RNA (1341 nucleotides) under uncultured bacterium. RNAcentral's name for it is "partial 16S ribosomal RNA". It matches the Rfam family "Bacterial small subunit ribosomal RNA", at positions 28 to 1381 of the family's 1533-position model. The record is from RNAcentral.